Molecule: small nuclear RNA, 118 nt
Organism: Phytophthora infestans T30-4
Lineage: Eukaryota; Oomycota; Peronosporomycetes; Peronosporales; Peronosporaceae
Rfam family: U5 spliceosomal RNA
About the family: U5 RNA is a component of both types of known spliceosome. The precise function of this molecule is unknown, though it is known that the 5' loop is required for splice site selection and p220 binding, and that both the 3' stem-loop and the Sm site are important for Sm protein binding and cap methylation.
Source: Rfam
UUCCGCUGAGUUAAUUUCAUUCGUAUUAAUCUUUCGCCUUUUACUAAAGAUUACCGUGGAAUUGACUCACAAAAUGCGGCUUUGACCAAAUUUCUGGAUCCCUCCUUGUGAGGGGAAU